RNAcentral lists this long non-coding RNA (235 nucleotides) under Gossypium barbadense (sea-island cotton). Its description in RNAcentral is "long non-coding RNA (GBAR_LNC016910)". Lineage: Eukaryota; Viridiplantae; Streptophyta; Magnoliopsida; Malvales; Malvaceae. The record is from RNAcentral.
UUUUGUUUGCUUUUGUUUUGUACUAACCCGUUUUGUUUUGAUUAUGAUUGCAUUGCAUUUGCAUCUUAGAAAAGAGAUGUUGAUUCAAGUUCGAUUACUAACUUAGGAAGCUUGUCAUGGAAUAAAGAUUUCUUGAUAAAGUGGAAAAUAAUACGGCUACCUGAAUAUAUUCUGAGAAACACAAGAAGGGCGAUAGAAGAGUUCGUGAAUUUACUCCGUGGCUCGAGGAUUCAAG